This 301-nucleotide ribosomal RNA is filed under the name uncultured bacterium. RNAcentral describes it as "partial 16S ribosomal RNA". It matches the Rfam family "Bacterial small subunit ribosomal RNA", at positions 509 to 809 of the family's 1533-position model. The record is from RNAcentral.
CAGUAGCCGCGGGAAUACGUAGGGUGCGAGCGUUAAUCGGAAUUACUGGGCGUAAAGCGUGCGCAGGCGGUUCGUUAAGACAGAUGUGAAAUCCCCGGGCUUAACCUGGGAACUGCAUUUGUGACUGGCGAGCUAGAGUAUGGCAGAGGGGGGUAGAAUUCCACGUGUAGCAGUGAAAUGCGUAGAGAUGUGGAGGAAUACCGAUGGCGAAGGCAGCCCCCUGGGCCAAUACUGACGCUCAUGCACGAAAGCGUGGGGAGCAAACAGGAUUAGAUACCCGGGUAGUCCCUGUCUCUUAUAA